CUGUAGUUCAGCGGUAGAGCGCCAGAUUGUGGAUCUGGUUGUCGAGGGUUCGAUCCCCUCCA
This 62-nucleotide transfer RNA is filed under the name uncultured Treponema sp. It matches the Rfam family "tRNA", at positions 6 to 65 of the family's 71-position model. Rfam says of the family: Transfer RNA (tRNA) molecules are approximately 80 nucleotides in length. Their secondary structure includes four short double-helical elements and three loops (D, anti-codon, and T loops). Further hydrogen bonds mediate the characteristic L-shaped molecular structure. tRNAs have two regions of fundamental functional importance: the anti-codon, which is responsible for specific mRNA codon recognition, and the 3' end, to which the tRNAs corresponding amino acid is attached (by aminoacyl-tRNA synthetases). tRNAs cope with the degeneracy of the genetic code in two manners: having more than one tRNA (with a specific anti-codon) for a particular amino acid; and 'wobble' base-pairing, i.e. permitting non-standard base-pairing at the 3rd anti-codon position. The record is from RNAcentral. Lineage: Bacteria; Pseudomonadati; Spirochaetota; Spirochaetia; Treponematales; Treponemataceae.